UACCAGCUCUCCGAGUGGUAGGGAUGAUUAUUGGGCUUAAAGCGUCCGUAGCCGGCUUGGCAAGUUUCCUGUUAAACUCUGCUACUUAAUCGUUGAAUCGCGGGAAAUACUACUAGGCUAGGAGGCGGGAGAGGUCAACGGUACUUCUGGGGUAGGGGUGAAAUCCUAUAAUCCCGGGAGGACCACCAGUGGCGAAGGCUGUUGACUAGAACGCGCUCGACGGUGAGGGACGAAAGCUGGGGGAGCGAACCGGAUUAGAUACCCGGGUAGUCCCAGCUGUAAACGAUGCGGGCUAGGUGUUGGGAUGGCUACGUGCCAUUUCAGUGCCGCAGGGAAGCCAUUAAGCCCGCCGCCUGGGGAGUACGGCCGCAAGGCUGAAACUUAAGGAAUUGGCGGGGGAGCACCACAAGGCGUGAAGCUUGCGGUUC
RNAcentral lists this ribosomal RNA (428 nucleotides) under uncultured archaeon. RNAcentral's name for it is "bacterial SSU rRNA". It matches the Rfam family "Archaeal small subunit ribosomal RNA", at positions 474 to 903 of the family's 1478-position model. The record is from RNAcentral.